Oryctolagus cuniculus (rabbit) is the source of this 46-nucleotide regulatory RNA element. It matches the Rfam family "Histone 3' UTR stem-loop". From Rfam's summary of the family: The mRNAs of metazoan histone genes lack a poly-A tail. 3' end processing occurs at a site between a highly conserved stem-loop (modelled by this family) and a purine rich region around 20 nts downstream (the histone downstream element, or HDE). The record is from Rfam. Lineage: Eukaryota; Metazoa; Chordata; Mammalia; Lagomorpha; Leporidae.
ACAAAGGCUCUUUUCAGAGCCACCCAUCUGAUCGGGAAAGAGCCGU